Molecule: ribosomal RNA, 466 nt
Filed under: uncultured bacterium
Lineage: Bacteria
Description: partial 16S ribosomal RNA
Rfam family: Bacterial small subunit ribosomal RNA
Source: RNAcentral
GACGAACGCUGGCGGCGUGCUUAACACAUGCAAGUCGAACGGAAAGGCCCUGCUUUUGUGGGGUGCUCGAGUGGCGAACGGGUGAGUAACACGUGAGUAACCUGCCCUUGACUUUGGGAUAACUUCAGGAAACUGGGGCUAAUACCGGAUAGGAGCUCCUGCCGCAUGGUGGGGGUUGGAAAGUUUCGGCGGUUGGGGAUGGACUCGCGGCUUAUCAGCUUGUUGGUGGGGUAGUGGCUUACCAAGGCUUUGACGGGUAGCCGGCCUGAGAGGGUGACCGGCCACAUUGGGACUGAGAUACGGCCCAGACUCCUACGGGAGGCAGCAGUGGGGAAUAUUGCACAAUGGGCGGAAGCCUGAUGCAGCAACGCCGCGUGCGGGAUGACGGCCUUCGGGUUGUAAACCGCUUUCGCCUGUGACGAAGCGUGAGUGACGGUAAUGGGUAAAGAAGCACCGGCUAACGACG